UACGUAGGGUGCAAGCGUUGUCCGGAAUUAUUGGGCGUAAAGAGCUCGUAGGCGGCUAAGUAAGUCGGGUGUGAAAACUCCAGGCUCAACCUGGAGACGCCACCUGAUACUGCUUUGGCUAGAGUCCGGUAGGGGAGCAUGGAAUUCCUGGUGUAGCGGUGAAAUGCGCAGAUAUCAGGAGGAACACCAGUGGCGAAGGCGGUGCUCUGGGCCGGAACUGACGCUGAGGAGCGAAAGCGUGGGGAGCAAACAGG
This 254-nucleotide ribosomal RNA is filed under the name uncultured bacterium. Its description in RNAcentral is "partial 16S ribosomal RNA". It matches the Rfam family "Bacterial small subunit ribosomal RNA", at positions 524 to 776 of the family's 1533-position model. The record is from RNAcentral.